Molecule: ribosomal RNA, 253 nt
Filed under: uncultured bacterium
Lineage: Bacteria
Description: partial 16S ribosomal RNA
Rfam family: Bacterial small subunit ribosomal RNA
Source: RNAcentral
UACGAAGGGGGCUAGCGUUGUUCGGAAUUACUGGGCGUAAAGGGCGCGUAGGCGGCGUGUCAAGUCAGGCGUGAAAGCCCCAGGCUCAACCUGGGAACCGCGCUUGAGACUGGCAUGCUCGAGUUCGGGAGAGGAUGGUGGAAUUCCCAGUGUAGAGGUGAAAUUCGUAGAUAUUGGGAAGAACACCGAUGGCGAAGGCAGCCAUCUGGACCGACACUGACGCUGAGGCGCGAAAGCGUGGGGAGCAAACAGG